GACGAACGCUGGCGGCGUGCUUAACACAUGCAAGUCGAACGGAAAGGCCCUGCUUUUGUGGGGUGCUCGAGUGGCGAACGGGUGAGUAACACGUGAGUAACCUGCCCUUGACUUUGGGAUAACUUCAGGAAACUAGGGCUAAUACCGGAUAGGAGCUCCUGCUGCAUGGUGGGGGUUGGAAAGUUUCGGCGGUUGGGGAUGGACUCGCGGCUUAUCAGCUUGUUGGUGGGGUAGUGGCUUACCAAGGCUUUGACGGGUAGCCGGCCUGAGAGGGUGACCGGCCACAUUGGGACUGAGAUACGGCCCAGACUCCUACGGGAGGCAGCAGUGGGGAAUAUUGCACAAUGGGCGGAAGCCUGAUGCAGCAACGCCGCGUGCGGGAUGACGGCCUUCGGGUUGUAAACCGCUUUCGCCUGUGACGAAGCGUGAGUGACGGUAAUGGGUAAAGAAGCACCGGCUAACUACGU
Molecule: ribosomal RNA, 467 nt
Filed under: uncultured bacterium
Lineage: Bacteria
Description: partial 16S ribosomal RNA
Rfam family: Bacterial small subunit ribosomal RNA
Source: RNAcentral